RNAcentral lists this small nuclear RNA (96 nucleotides) under Cervus elaphus hippelaphus. Lineage: Eukaryota; Metazoa; Chordata; Mammalia; Artiodactyla; Cervidae. The record is from RNAcentral.
UCUCUCUGGCAACACAGACACUAAAACUGGGACAAUGCAGAGAAGGUCAGCAUGGCUCCAGAUGAUGCAUAAAUUCACGAGGUGUUCAAUAUUCUU